Molecule: long non-coding RNA, 540 nt
Organism: Dermacentor silvarum
Lineage: Eukaryota; Metazoa; Arthropoda; Arachnida; Ixodida; Ixodidae
Exons: 3
Source: RefSeq, a predicted model, not a curated record
CGAGGCUGUGACCCAUAACAGUGCCCACAUAACGGAGGAGCCACCAGACCCCUUGGCCAUGCCUGCCGUAGUGCAACGUGUAAUCUGGAUGGUCGGGUCAGGUACACCUAGGAAAUGUUGUAUACAUUGGCAACGAUAACUGGGGCCUGCUCCAGUGCCAUCGCCGGGAUUCCCUGUUCUGCAAAGAACUGGCAUAACUGAUGUGGGGAGCCCUGGCGCUCGGCGUAGGAGCGUCACAGGGGCUCCUUGUCGGUGCUUGAAGGACGGCAGUGCUGUUGAGAAGCCGACAUUGAGCCCCGAUAAAUUGGAAGCUGUGGGUAGUUACCGCAUUAUUGGCUUGGAAACUAGUGAGGUCUGGAUGCAAGUGAAGCUACCGAGGGAGGCAUGUGUGCAUCACUUGUGCUGCUGGCCAUCCUCUGCAAAAGUGAUGGCUGGCUGUCAGUGCUUGGAUGACUUUCUGUUACUCUACGCCUUGGGCUGUGUUGACUACUUCACACUUGCUGCCAUGUCUGCAAGUUACUGUGUUGUGUUACUGUGUUG